UGAGGAAUAUUGGUCAAUGGGCGAGAGCCUGAACCAGCCAAGUCGCGUGAAGGAAGACUGUCCUAUGGAUUGUAAACUUCUUUUUUACAGGAAUAAAGUGCACUACGUGUAGUGUUUUGUAUGUACUGUACGAAUAAGGAUCGGCUAACUCCGUGCCAGCAGCCGCGGUAAUACGGAGGAUCCGAGCGUUAUCCGGAUUUAUUGGGUUUAAAGGGUGCGUAGGUGGAACAUUAAGUCAGUGGUGAAAGUUUUCAGCUUAACUGAAAAAUUGCCGUUGAAACUGCUGUUCUUGAGUGCAAAUAAGGUAGGCGGAAUGUGUUGUGUAGCGGUGAAAUGCAUAGAUAUGACACAGAACACCAAUUGCGAAGGCAGCUUACCGGGAUGCAACUGACACUGAGGCACGAAAGCGUGGGUAUCAAACA
This 422-nucleotide ribosomal RNA is filed under the name uncultured Porphyromonadaceae bacterium. Its description in RNAcentral is "bacterial SSU rRNA". It matches the Rfam family "Bacterial small subunit ribosomal RNA", at positions 355 to 774 of the family's 1533-position model. The record is from RNAcentral. Lineage: Bacteria; Pseudomonadati; Bacteroidota; Bacteroidia; Bacteroidales; Porphyromonadaceae.